GGGCUGGGGCUCAGCGGUAGAGCGCUCGCCUCGCACGUGCGAGACCCUGAGAGUUCGAUCCUCAGCACCACA
RNAcentral lists this transfer RNA (72 nucleotides) under Marmota monax (woodchuck). RNAcentral's name for it is "tRNA.Ala". The record is from RNAcentral. Lineage: Eukaryota; Metazoa; Chordata; Mammalia; Rodentia; Sciuridae.